GGGUCAGUAGGUUGGUCGUGCCACCGGUACGUACUGGUCUCACUGAUUCCUCCUUCCUGAAGAACCGUAAUGCCAUUAAUUUGGUGUUGCGGGGAAACAGGACUGUUACUUUGAAAAAAUUAGAGUGUUUAAAGCAAGCUAACGCUUGAAUACAUUGGCAUGGAAUAAUGAAAUAGGACGAUCGAUCCUAUUUUGUUGGUUUCUGAGAUUGACGUA
Molecule: ribosomal RNA, 216 nt
Filed under: Glomeromycotina sp.
Lineage: Eukaryota; Fungi; Glomeromycota
Description: partial small subunit ribosomal RNA
Rfam family: Eukaryotic small subunit ribosomal RNA (bases 40-216)
Source: RNAcentral